GUACCUCUGGUGUACCAGUUGUCCUGCCAAGGGCAUGGCUGGGUAGCUAUGUACGGAAUGGAUAAGCGCUGAAAGCAUCUAAGCGCGAAGCCAACUUCAAGAUAAGAUUUCCCACCGCAAGGGUAAGACCCCAGAAAGACUAUCUGGUUGAUAGGUCGAAGGUGUAAGUGCAGCAAUGUAUUUAGCUUAUCGAUACUAAUAGGUCGAGGACUUGACCAAU
This 220-nucleotide ribosomal RNA is filed under the name Clostridioides difficile. Its description in RNAcentral is "partial 23S ribosomal RNA". It matches the Rfam family "Bacterial large subunit ribosomal RNA", at positions 2703 to 2925 of the family's 2925-position model. The record is from RNAcentral. Lineage: Bacteria; Bacillati; Bacillota; Clostridia; Peptostreptococcales; Peptostreptococcaceae.